CACUUGACUAUAACAGUGAGUUAUCUCAAUUGACUGCUCACAGUCAGUAACAAAGUGCACUCCUUCUCUACACUUCCUUCUCCGAUUCUCACUACUGCACUUGACUAGUCUUAA
Unclassified non-coding RNA from Cricetulus griseus (Chinese hamster), 114 nucleotides. It matches the Rfam family "Y RNA". From Rfam's summary of the family: Y RNAs are components of the Ro ribonucleoprotein particle (Ro RNP), in association with Ro60 and La proteins. The Y RNAs and Ro60 and La proteins are well conserved, but the function of the Ro RNP is not known. In humans the RNA component can be one of four small RNAs -- hY1, hY3, hY4 and hY5. The record is from Ensembl. NCBI's taxonomy places the organism in Eukaryota, Metazoa, Chordata, Mammalia, Rodentia, Cricetidae.